GAUGAACGCUGGCGGCGUGCCUAAUACAUGCAAGUCGAGCGAACGGACGAGAAGCUUGCUUCUCUGAUGUUAGCGGCGGACGGGUGAGUAACACGUGGAUAACCUACCUAUAAGACUGGGAUAACUUCGGGAAACCGGAGCUAAUACCGGAUAAUAUUUUGAACCGCAUGGUUCAAAAGUGAAAGACGGUCUUGCUGUCACUUAUAGAUGGAUCCGCGCUGCAUUAGCUAGUUGGUAAGGUAACGGCUUACCAAGGCAACGAUGCAUAGCCGACCUGAGAGGGUGAUCGGCCACACUGGAACUGAGACACGGUCCAGACUCCUACGGGAGGCAGCAGUAGGGAAUCUUCCGCAAUGGGCGAAAGCCUGACGGAGCAACGCCGCGUGAGUGAUGAAGGUCUUCGGAUCGUAAAACUCUGUUAUUAGGGAAGAACAUAUGUGUAAGUAACUGUGCACAUCUUGACGGUACCUAAUCAGAAAGCCACGGCUAACUACGUGCCAGCAGCCGCGGUAAUACGUAGGUGGCAAGCGUUAUCCGGAAUUAUUGGGCGUAAAGCGCGCGUAGGCGGUUUUUUAAGUCUGAUGUGAAAGCCCACGGCUCAACCGUGGAGGGUCAUUGGAAACUGGAAAACUUGAGUGCAGAAGAGGAAAGUGGAAUUCCAUGUGUAGCGGUGAAAUGCGCAGAGAUAUGGAGGAACACCAGUGGCGAAGGCGACUUUCUGGUCUGUAACUGACGCUGAUGUGCGAAAGCGUGGGGAUCAAACAGGAUUAGAUACCCUGGUAGUCCACGCCGUAAACGAUGAGUGCUAAGUGUUAGGGGGUUUCCGCCCCUUAGUGCUGCAGCUAACGCAUUGAGCACUCCGCCUGGGGAGUACGACCGCAAGGUUGAAACUCAAAGGAAUUGACGGGGACCCGCACAAGCGGUGGAGCAUGUGGUUUAAUUCGAAGCAACGCGAAGAACCUUACCAAAUCUUGACAUCCUUUGACAACUCUAGAGAUAGAGCCUUCCCCUUCGGGGGACAAAGUGACAGGUGGUGCAUGGUUGUCGUCAGCUCGUGUCGUGAGAUGUUGGGUUAAGUCCCGCAACGAGCGCAACCCUUAAGCUUAGUUGCCAUCAUUAAGUUGGGCACUCUAAGUUGACUGCCGGUGACAAACCGGAGGAAGGUGGGGAUGACGUCAAAUCAUCAUGCCCCUUAUGAUUUGGGCUACACACGUGCUACAAUGGACAAUACAAAGGGCAGCGAAACCGCGAGGUCAAGCAAAUCCCAUAAAGUUGUUCUCAGUUCGGAUUGUAGUCUGCAACUCGACUACAUGAAGCUGGAAUCGCUAGUAAUCGUGGAUCAGCAUGCUACGGUGAAUACGUUCCCGGGUCU
Molecule: ribosomal RNA, 1372 nt
Filed under: uncultured bacterium
Lineage: Bacteria
Description: bacterial SSU rRNA
Rfam family: Bacterial small subunit ribosomal RNA
Source: RNAcentral